This 3179-nucleotide unclassified non-coding RNA is filed under the name Hevea brasiliensis (rubber tree). The record is from RNAcentral. Lineage: Eukaryota; Viridiplantae; Streptophyta; Magnoliopsida; Malpighiales; Euphorbiaceae.
UUAGUUUUAGCCACUCCUGUUGAGCUGAUUCUUGUAGGAUUAUGCUGUUCGGGUGGUGGUGAUGGUACUGAUCCAUAUGCAGAAGUUUCGCUACAGCCUUUGCCAGAGUACACAGUCCCAUCUGAUGGGGUUACUAUGACUUGUAUUGCAUGUACUGAUAAGGGUCGCAUCUUCUUGGCUGGGCGCGAUGGCCAUAUUUAUGAGUUGCAUUACACAACUGGUUCUGGCUGGCAUAAAAGAUGUCGUAAGGUUUGCCUCACUGCAGGAUUGGGUAGUGUCAUCUCAAGGUGGGUUGUACCAAAUGUAUUUAAGUUUGGAGCCACUGAUCCCAUUGUUGAAAUGGUUUUUGAUAGUGAAAGACAGAUUCUGUAUGCAAGAACUGAAGAGAUGAAACUUCAGGUUUUCCUUCUAGGACCAAAUGGAGAUGGGCCAUUGAAGAAAGUUACAGAAGAAAGAAAUUUGUUCAGUCACAAGGAUGUACAUUAUGGAGGUAGACAGUCAGCAGGACCAAGAGCCCCUAACAGAUCUGUGAAGCCAUCUAUUGUUUGCAUCUCACCUUUAUCCACACUGGAAUCUAAGUGGUUGCACCUUGUUGCUGUUUUAUCAGAUGGCAGAAGGAUGUACAUUUCCACUUCUCCAUCUAGUGGCAGUAAUGGUACCGUUGGAGGUUUGGGUCGAUUCAAUAUUAAUCAUCAGAGACCAAACUGUUUAAAAGUUGUAACAACUAGGCCUUCUCCUCCUAUAGGGGUCAGCGGUGGACUCACUUUUGGAGCCAUAUCUCUUGCCAGUAGAACUCCAAAUGAGGAUCUCGCACUAAAGGUUGAAACAGCAUAUUAUUCUGCUGGAACUCUUGUCCUUUCUGAUUCCUCACCCCCAACCAUGUCUUCUCUAGUCAUUGUGAAUAGGGACUCAAGCUUGCAAUCAGGUGCUUUAGGUACUAGCGUGAGGAGUUCUCGAGCUUUACGAGAAAUUGUCUCCUCCCUACCUGUUGAAGGUCGAAUGCUUUUUGUGGCAGAUGUCCUGCCCUUACCAGAUACAGCUGCAACUGUGCAUUCACUGUAUUCAGAAAUUGAUUUUUUCGGAUUUGAAAGUUCAAGGGAGCCCUGUGAAAAGGCAUCUGGAAAACUUUGGGCUAAAGGUGACCUUUCCACCCAGCAUAUACUUCCGAGACGGAAAAUUGUUGUUUUUAGUACUAUGGGAAUGAUGGAAGUAGUUUUUAAUAGGCCUGUGGACAUUCUGAGAAGGCUGUUUGAGGCUAACUCACCUAGAUCAAUCUUGGAAGAUUUCUUCAAUCGUUAUGGAGCUGGUGAGGCAGCUGCAAUGUGCUUAUUGUUAGCUGCAAGGAUAGUUCAUUCUGAAACUCUUAUAAGUAAUGCUGUUGCUGAGAAGGCAGCAGAAACAUACGAGGAUCCAAGAGUUGUUGGAAUGCCACAACUUGAAGGUAUUAAUGCACUAUCAAACGCUAGAACAACAACCGGGGGUUUUAGCAUGGGGCAGGUUGUUCAGGAGGCAGAGCCUGUAUUUUCAGGUGCACAUGAAGGGCUUUGCCUGUGCACAUCAAGGUUACUUUUCCCUCUCUGGGAACUCCCUGUCUUUGUCGCCAGAGGUACAUCUGUUGUGACAUCUGAAAGUGGAGUAGUAACAUGCAGACUCUCUGUUGGGGCUCUUCAGGUUAUUGAAAAUAAGAUUCGUUCUUUAGAGAAGUUCUUAAGAUCCAGAAGAAAUCAGAGAAGGGGGCUUUAUGGCUGUGUAGCUGGUUUAGGGGAUGUGACCGGUUCUAUAUUGUAUGGAACUGGUUCAGACUUAGGUAAUGGUGACAGAAGUAUGGUGAGAAACUUAUUUGGCGCUUAUUCGCGGAAUGUUGAGUCUAGUGCUGGUGCUACAUCAAAUAAACGGCAACGAUUACCUUAUAGUCCUGCAGAAUUGGCUGCCAUGGAGGUCAGAGCAAUGGAGUGUAUAAGGCAAUUGCUUCUUAGAUCUGGUGAAGCAUUGUUUCUGCUACAGCUUCUUUCCCAGCAUCAUGUGGCACGGUUGGUUCAAGGGUUUGAUGCAAAUUUACUACAAGCACUAGUUCAAUUAACAUUCCAUCAACUAGUUUGUUCUGAGGAAGGUGAUCGUAUUGCUACAAUGCUAAUAUCUGCACUAAUGGAGUAUUAUACUGGUCCUGAUGGCAGAGGAACGGUAGAUGAUAUAAGUGGGAGAUUACGGGAGGGAUGUCCAAGCUAUUUCAAGGAGUCAGAUUACAAGUUUUUCUUGGCUGUGGAAUGUCUUGAAAGAGCUGCUGUAACUUCAGACCUUGUGGAGAAGGAGAAUCUUGCUAGAGAGGCCUUCAAUUUUUUAAGUAAAGUUCCAGAGUCUGCAGAUUUAAGAACUGUUUGCAAAAGGUUUGAGGAUUUAAGAUUUUAUGAAGCUGUGGUACGCUUGCCUCUGCAGAAGGCACAGGCUCUUGAUCCUGCUGGUGAUGCUUUUAAUGACCAAAUUGAUGAAGCAAUUAGAGAACAUGCAAUAGCUCAGCGUGAAAAGUGCUAUGAGAUAAUUACUAGUGCUUUACGUUCUCUUAGAGUUGAAUCUUUGCAAAUGGAGUUUGGAUCUCCAGUGAGGCCUGCUGCCAUGCGACCAGUGCUUGAUCAGGCUUCUCGAAAGAAAUAUAUCUGCCAAAUUGUUCAACUCAGUGUUCAAUCAUCUGACAGACUGUUUCAUGAGUAUCUGUACCGGACUAUGAUUGAUUUGGGCCUCGAAAAUGAGCUAUUGGAGUAUGGUGGUCCUGAUUUAGUGCCUUUCCUGCAAAAUGCUGGCCGUGAACCAUUGCGGGAGGUCCAAGCUGUUUCUGCUAUAUCUACAACUUCUUCCAUUAGUCAUUCAAAAGCACCCAUCACUUCUAAUCAAGCAAAAUACUUUGAUCUUUUGGCACGGUAUUAUGUCUUGAAGCGGCAGCAUAUGCUUGCAGCUCACAUUUUGCUAAGACUGGCUGAAAGGCGUUCAACUGAUGCAAGAGAUGUUCCCAGUCUUGAACAAAGGCGCCAAUAUCUAAGCAAUGCUGUUAUACAGGCAAAGAAUGCUAGUGAUAAUGGUGGUUUGGUAGGUUCCGCAAGGGGUGCAGGUGCCUUGGACAGUGGGUUGCUAGAUUUGCUUGAAGGGAAGCUUGUGGUUCUUCGGUUUCAAAUAAAAAUAAAAGAGGA